This 470-nucleotide ribosomal RNA is filed under the name uncultured bacterium. RNAcentral describes it as "partial 16S ribosomal RNA". It matches the Rfam family "Bacterial small subunit ribosomal RNA", at positions 28 to 507 of the family's 1533-position model. The record is from RNAcentral.
GACGAACGCUGGCGGCGUGCUUAACACAUGCAAGUCGAACGGUGAAAGAGGGAGCUUGCUCCCUCCGGAUCAGUGGCGAACGGGUGAGUAACACGUGAGCAAUCUGCCCCGAACUCUGGGAUAAGCGUUGGAAACGGCGGCUAAUACCGGAUACGACUCGGGAGGGCAUCCUCUCCGCGUGGAAAGACCUGCGGUUCGGGAUAAGUGCGCGGCCUAUCAGCUUGUUGGUGAUGUAACGGCUCACCAAGGCGACGGCUGGUAGCCGGCCUGAGAGGGUGGCCGGCCACCCUGGGACUGCGACACGGACCAGAAGCCAACGUGAGGCAACAGUGGGGAAUAUUGCACAAUGGGCGCAAGCCUGAUGCAGAAACCCCGCGUGCGGGAAGACGGCCUUCGGGUUGUAAACCUCUUUUAGCAGGGAAGAAGCGAACGUGACGGUACCUGCACAAAAAGCCCCGGCUAACUACGUG